This 1377-nucleotide ribosomal RNA is filed under the name Mesobacillus subterraneus. Its description in RNAcentral is "bacterial SSU rRNA". It matches the Rfam family "Bacterial small subunit ribosomal RNA", at positions 72 to 1434 of the family's 1533-position model. The record is from RNAcentral. Lineage: Bacteria; Bacillati; Bacillota; Bacilli; Caryophanales; Bacillaceae.
UCAUUAGCUUGCUUUUGAAGAUCAGCGGCGGACGGGUGAGUAACACGUGGGCAACCUGCCUGUAAGACUGGGAUAACUUCGGGAAACCGGAGCUAAUACCGGAUAAUCCUUUCCCUCACAUGAGGGAAAGCUGAAAGACGGUUUCGGCUGUCACUUACAGAUGGGCCCGCGGCGCAUUAGCUAGUUGGUGAGGUAACGGCUCACCAAGGCGACGAUGCGUAGCCGACCUGAGAGGGUGAUCGGCCACACUGGGACUGAAACACGGCCCAAACUCCUACGGGAGGCAGCAGUAGGGAAUCUUCCGCAAUGGACAAAAGUCUGACGGAGCAACGCCGCGUGAGCGAUGAAGGCCUUCGGGUCGUAAAGCUCUGUUGUCAGGGAAGAACAAGUACCGGAGUAACUGCCGGUACCUUGACGGUACCUGACCAGAAAGCCACGGCUAACUACGUGCCAGCAGCCGCGGUAAUACGUAGGUGGCAAGCGCUGUCCGGAAUUAUUGGGCGUAAAGCGCGCGCAGGCGGUUCCUUAAGUCUGAUGUGAAAGCCCCCGGCUCAACCGGGGAGGGUCAUUGGAAACUGGGGAACUUGAGUGCAGAAGAGGAGAGCGGAUUCCACGUGUAGCGGUGAAAUGCUUAGAGAUGUGGAGGAACACCAGUGGCGAAGGCGGCUCUCUGGUCUGUAACUGACGCUGAGGCGCGAAAGCGUGGGGAGCGAACAGGAUUAGAUACCCUGGUAGUCCACGCCGUAAACGAUGAGUGCUAAGUGUUAGAGGGUUUCCGCCCUUUAGUGCUGCAGCAAACGCAUUAAGCACUCCGCCUGGGGAGUACGGCCGCAAGGCUGAAACUCAAAGGAAUUGACGGGGGCCCGCACAAGCGGUGGAGCAUGUGGUUUAAUUCGAAGCAACGCGAAGAACCUUACCAGGUCUUGACAUCCUCUGACAACCCUAGAGAUAGGGCGUUCCCCUUCGGGGGACAGAGUGACAGGUGGUGCAUGGUUGUCGUCAGCUCGUGUCGUGAGAUGUUGGGUUAAGUCCCGCAACGAGCGCAACCCUUGAUCUUAGUUGCCAGCAUUAAGUUGGGCACUCUAAGGUGACUGCCGGUGACAAACCGGAGGAAGGUGGGGAUGACGUCAAAUCAUCAUGCCCCUUAUGACCUGGGCUACACACGUGCUACAAUGGAUGGAACAAAGGGCAGCGAAGCCGCGAGGUGAAGCCAAUCCCAUAAAACCAUUCUCAGUUCGGAUUGCAGGCUGCAACUCGCCUGCAUGAAGCCGGAAUCGCUAGUAAUCGCGGAUCAGCAUGCCGCGGUGAAUACGUUCCCGGGCCUUGUACACACCGCCCGUCACACCACGAGAGUUUGUAACACCCGAAGUCGGUGGG